Molecule: ribosomal RNA, 441 nt
Filed under: Streptococcus sanguinis
Lineage: Bacteria; Bacillati; Bacillota; Bacilli; Lactobacillales; Streptococcaceae
Description: bacterial SSU rRNA
Rfam family: Bacterial small subunit ribosomal RNA
Source: RNAcentral
GACGAACGCGGCGGCGUGCCUAAUACAUGCAAGUAGAACGCUGAAGAGAGGAGCUUGCUCUUCUUGGAUGAGUUGCGAACGGGUGAGUAACGCGUAGGUAACCUGCCUGGUAGCGGGGGAUAACUAUUGGAAACGAUAGCUAAUACCGCAUAAAAUUGAUUAUUGCAUGAUAAUUAAUUGAAAGAUGCAAUUGCAUCACUACCAGAUGGACCUGCGUUGUAUUAGCUAGUUGGUGAGGUAACGGCUCACCAAGGCGACGAUACAUAGCCGACCUGAGAGGGUGAUCGGCCACACUGGGACUGAGACACGGCCCAGACUCCUACGGGAGGCAGCAGUAGGGAAUCUUCGGCAAUGGGGGGAACCCUGACCGAGCAACGCCGCUGAGUGAAGAAGGUUUUCGGAUGUAAAGCUCUGUUGUAAGAGAAGAACGGGUGUGAGAAG